CUGAGGUCGGCAUCAAGGUGAAGAUGGCCGAAGUAACACUAUUGCUGGAGCUUCAUUUGAAUACCUACAAAAAAUCUUCACCGAGGUGUUCUUUGAUGAAAACCCUCCGACGCUCAAGUCAGGAGAUGGAGAACAAUGAGAAGGAGAGAGUGAGGUGUGAAGAAUUUACUUUAAGAGUCUUGUGGUCCCUUUCUUUAUAGGGGAGAAGUUGGAGUUGUAUCCGUCUCAAAGUCUUGAUAGCUUUUCAAGUUUGGUACGUAGAUUGAUUUGGAGAAGUUAUUUUCUUUUACGAAAGAUUCAAUCGCAGAGAAA
Molecule: long non-coding RNA, 312 nt
Filed under: Elaeis guineensis (African oil palm)
Lineage: Eukaryota; Viridiplantae; Streptophyta; Magnoliopsida; Arecales; Arecaceae
Description: long non-coding RNA (EGUI_LNC013227)
Source: RNAcentral